Molecule: ribosomal RNA, 439 nt
Filed under: uncultured bacterium
Lineage: Bacteria
Description: partial 16S ribosomal RNA
Rfam family: Bacterial small subunit ribosomal RNA
Source: RNAcentral
CUACGGGGGGCAGCAGUGAGGAAUAUUGCACAAUGGGGGGAACCCUGAUGCAGCAACGCCGCGUGGAGGAUGACGCAUUUCGGUGUGUAAACUCCUUUUAUAUGUCAAGAAAAUGACGGUAGCAUAUGAAUAAGCACCGGCUAACUCCGUGCCAGCAGCCGCGGUAAUACGGAGGGUGCAAGCGUUACUCGGAAUCACUGGGCGUAAAGGACGCGUAGGCGGGUUGGAAAGUCAGGUGUGAAAUCCUGCAGCUUAACUGUGGAACUGCACUUGAAACUUCUAAUCUAGAGUAUGGGAGGGGGAGAUGGAAUUAGUGGUGUAGGGGUAAAAUCCGUAGAUAUCACUAGGAAUACCUAAAGCGAAGGCGAUCUCCUGGAACAUUACUGACGCUAAGGCGUGAAAGCGUGGGGAGCAAACAGGAUUAGAUACCCCUGUAGUC